UACAGAGGGUGCAAGCGUUAAUCGGAUUUACUGGGCGUAAAGCGCGCGUAGGCGGCUAAUUAAGUCAAAUGUGAAAUCCCCCGAGCUUAACUUGGGAAUUGCAUUCGAUACUGGUUAGCUAGAGUGUGGGAGAGGAUGGUAGAAUUCCAGGUGUAGCGGUGAAAUGCGUAGAGAUCUGGAGGAAUACCGGAUGGCGAAGGCAGCCAUCUGGCCUAACACUGACCGCUGAGGUGCGAAAGCAUGGGGAGCAAACAGGG
Molecule: ribosomal RNA, 257 nt
Filed under: uncultured bacterium
Lineage: Bacteria
Description: partial 16S ribosomal RNA
Rfam family: Bacterial small subunit ribosomal RNA
Source: RNAcentral